ACCCCCAUCACAUACUCGUGGCCUAUGAAAGCACCACCGUGGCCUAUGAAAGCACCACCCCCAUCACACAAUCGUGGCCUAUGAAAGCACCACCGUGGCCUAUGAAAGCACCACCCCAUCACACAAAUAAGCGCGUCCGCCUAUUUAUAAGGGCUGAUAACCCUAGCAUAUGAUCAUAGCUUCACAAUAAGAAAAUCCAUCUCAUCAUACCACGUCUCAAUCAUGCAUAGUAGAGCCCAAAUCAAAAUCAUUCUUUCACAAAAGCAAUAAUUCUUAAUCAAAACCUCUUCAUUUAG
RNAcentral lists this long non-coding RNA (296 nucleotides) under Jatropha curcas. RNAcentral describes it as "long non-coding RNA (JCUR_LNC002435)". The record is from RNAcentral. Lineage: Eukaryota; Viridiplantae; Streptophyta; Magnoliopsida; Malpighiales; Euphorbiaceae.